UCUCUAUGACAUCCAACCUGGACAAGAUCAGCCUUGAUACAAGUAUUUGUUCUGGCCUCCCUUCCUUCCUUUUUGCAGCCUCUUGACUAGUUUUACCUUUGUGUUUACCUUUUUAUAGCUUUGCCUGUCUGGCUGUCUCUGCUGUGUGUCUGAUGAAUGAUAUGCUCUGGAAAAUGUGAUAUGCUGAGUUUCUCAAGGCGACAGGAAUGAUAUGCAAAACAGAUGAUGUUUAAGCUGCUGUGCUGGAUUUAUGACUGCAUUUAUGAAAUGAUGCUUUCAAGCUCAAAGGAUUGUUCAUUUACUGGGCCCCACAUGCUAGUUUUAUGUUGAGUGCAGCUGUUUUAAUGUGCAGUGACUUCUUCUGCAUGAACAAGACAGCUGGUCUGAUCGGGGUGGUGGGGUUCAACAGUAGUCUGGGCGCCCUGCACACCAUGUACCAGCUGGGGGUCCAUUACCUCACACUCCUGCAACACAGCGUGAUCACUUGGACCACAUAAAGAAACUGGCCUGGCCGAGGGUUUGGAGGAUGUGUCCAACAUGCCCAAACUAGUGGAUGAACUACUGAGGAGAGGAUGGACCGAUGAGGUGUCAUGGCUGCUCUGGGAAAUAACCUGCUCCGACUCCUGAGAGAGGCUGAGGAGGUGAGGAAUGAACACAAGCACCAAACGAGCUCUGUUCGAGGCCGUCUGAACGGCACAAGUCCAAAUGAAGUUCCUAUUCCAGGUGAGGGGGUGAAGAACCUACCCACUGGUGCCACCCAUCCACUCAGCACACUGGCCCUCCAGGCUCUGAUCACAUCAGCAGCUUCAUAGGCUGCUUAGUGCAACUGAUGGUGAAUCUUGACUUUCCCUAACGAAGGUGCAUCUCAUGAACCAUCAACUGCAAGUAUACAUAUAGCUGGAGCACAACACAAUGGAAGGACAAGGAAUUGGACGGUGUCAACAGUCAGAGAGAAGAAGAAGAGGAAGAGGAGUGAGGCUGCGUGUCAGAGGAGUUGGGAGGCAAAACAGAGGAAGAGGCAGAAGAGGCCGAGGACAUACGCAUGUUCCUGAUGAGAUAAGAGCCACACUUGUAGACCACGUUGUCAAUCAUGGGCUUACAAUGGCUGAGGCUGGUCGAAGGGUGCAGCCAAAUGUUGGGAGAACAACUGUGUCCUCAAUCAUUCAGAUUGUUCGUCGACAGAACAGGUAUGUAAUCUAACAAUAGGCACUGUUCUGUAAUGCUUCAUACAAUAUUACAGUAUUCCACUUGCAUUUUACAAUAUACAGUAAGUAGGCCUAUACUUUAUACAGUGACAUGUUAUCUUCCUGGAUUUUGUAUUUUGCAUUACUAUAUUU
Monopterus albus (swamp eel) is the source of this 1337-nucleotide long non-coding RNA. RefSeq lists it as uncharacterized. Lineage: Eukaryota; Metazoa; Chordata; Actinopteri; Synbranchiformes; Synbranchidae. The record is from RefSeq and is a predicted model, not a curated record. The transcript has 5 exons.